GACGAACGCUGGCGGCGUGCUUAACACAUGCAAGUCGAACGGAAAGGCCCUUCGGGUUCCCCGAGUGGCGAACGGGCGAGCAACACGUGGGCGAUUUGCCCUGCACCCUGGGAUAAGCCUGGGAAACUGGGUCUAAUACCGAAUAGGACCACGCGCUUCAUGGUGUGUGGUGGAAAGCUUUUGCGGUGUGGGAUGGGCCCGUGGCCUAUCAGCUUGUUGGUGGGGUAAUGGCUUACCAAGGCGCCGACGGGUAGCCGGCCUGAGAGGGUGACCGGCCACACUGGGACUGAGAUACGGCCCAGACGCCUACGGGAGGCAGCAGGGGGGAAUAUUGCACAAUGGGCGCAAGCCUGAUGCAGCGACGCCGCGUGAGGGAUGACGGCCUUCGGGUUGUAAACCUCUUUCAAUAGGGACGAAGCGAAAGUGACGGUACCUAUAGAAGAAGCACCGGCCAACUACGUG
RNAcentral lists this ribosomal RNA (462 nucleotides) under uncultured bacterium. RNAcentral describes it as "partial 16S ribosomal RNA". It matches the Rfam family "Bacterial small subunit ribosomal RNA", at positions 28 to 507 of the family's 1533-position model. The record is from RNAcentral.